CUUUUAAAGUAGAAGUUUUUUCCUUCUUGGCUGGCUAGUAUCCCUAUUACAAUUGUAUUUGGAAUGGCAAAUGUAAAAAAUAAAGAAAGGAAAGAGACCAAUGUUACUCUAGUGGUAAAAACCUCAGUUUUUCUUUAAUUAAGAUGGGGUAAUAUUCUGGCCAAUGUCAAGGGCAAUUCUGAGACAUGACUAAUAUUUUUUAUAAAGCAUUCUGGGAUCCUCAACAGAGAAAUACGUCCGCUGUAUUUGUAUAAAAGCAGUGUCUUCCAUGAACUUGACAUGUUAAUAUAUCCCAGAUAAUAUCAUUAGUUUACAUGGUUCUCUUGAGAGGUGAAGUGAAUGAAUUCUAUCACUUGUGGGCAACUACAAGGAUAAAA
RNAcentral lists this long non-coding RNA (377 nucleotides) under Marmota monax (woodchuck). Lineage: Eukaryota; Metazoa; Chordata; Mammalia; Rodentia; Sciuridae. The record is from RNAcentral.